Non-coding RNA from Bombardia bombarda, 94 nucleotides. The record is from the annotation of a GenBank genome assembly. Lineage: Eukaryota; Fungi; Ascomycota; Sordariomycetes; Sordariales; Lasiosphaeriaceae.
GGGCAUUUGGUCUAGGGGUAUGAUUUUCGCUUUGCAUUUUCUUCACAGAGUUGCACCUUGUGAAAGGUCAUCGGUUCGAAUCCGGUACUGUCCA